AUCGCUUCUCGGCCUUUUGGCAAAGAUCAAGUGUAGUAUCUGUUCUUAUCAGUUUAAUGCUACUAUGAAAUAUUUGUCUUAGUGCUUAAUCUGCACAUUUUUUCCUGUGGUUCCAUUUACGGCAGAUGAAUUGAGGUGUG
Ochotona princeps (American pika) is the source of this 140-nucleotide small nuclear RNA. Its record names the gene U2. It matches the Rfam family "U2 spliceosomal RNA". From Rfam's summary of the family: U2 is a small nuclear RNA (snRNA) component of the spliceosome (involved in pre-mRNA splicing). Complementary binding between U2 snRNA (in an area lying towards the 5' end but 3' to hairpin I) and the branchpoint sequence (BPS) of the intron results the bulging out of an unpaired adenosine, on the BPS, which initiates a nucleophilic attack at the intronic 5' splice site, thus starting the first of two transesterification reactions that mediate splicing. NCBI's taxonomy places the organism in Eukaryota, Metazoa, Chordata, Mammalia, Lagomorpha, Ochotonidae. The record is from Ensembl.